RNAcentral lists this ribosomal RNA (562 nucleotides) under uncultured soil bacterium. RNAcentral describes it as "bacterial SSU rRNA". It matches the Rfam family "Bacterial small subunit ribosomal RNA", at positions 35 to 592 of the family's 1533-position model. The record is from RNAcentral.
GCUGGCGGCAUGCCUUACACAUGCAAGUCGAACGGCAGCACGGGGGCAACCCUGGUGGCGAGUGGCGAACGGGUGAGUAAUACAUCGGAACGUGCCCCGUAGCGGGGGAUAACCAGUCGAAAGACUGGCUAAUACCGCAUACGCUCUACGGAGGAAAGCAGGGGAUCGCAAGACCUUGCACUAUGGGAGCGGCCGAUGCCCGAUUAGCUAGUUGGUGAGGUAAAGGCUCACCAAGGCGACGAUCGGUAGCUGGUCUGAGAGGACGUCCAGCCACACUGGGACUGAGACACGGCCCAGACUCCUACGGGAGGCAGCAGUGGGGAAUUUUGGACAAUGGGCGCAAGCCUGAUCCAGCCAUGCCGCGUGCGGGAAGAAGGCCUUCGGGUUGUAAACCGCUUUUGGCAGGAACGAAACGGCGCGAGCUAAUACCCCGCGCUAAUGACGGUACCUGCAGAAUAAGCACCGGCUAACUACGUGCCAGCAGCCGCGGUAAUACGUAGGGUGCAAGCGUUAAUCGGAAUUACUGGGCGUAAAGCGUACGCAGGCGGCUAUGUAAGACAGG